RNAcentral lists this ribosomal RNA (471 nucleotides) under uncultured bacterium. RNAcentral describes it as "SSU rRNA". It matches the Rfam family "Bacterial small subunit ribosomal RNA", at positions 26 to 518 of the family's 1533-position model. The record is from RNAcentral.
AGGACGAACGCUGGCGGCGCGCCUAACACAUGCAAGUCGAGCGAUAACCAGGGCUUGCCCUGGGGACAGCGGCGAACGGGUGCGUAACACGUGAGUAACCUGCCCCAAAGACCGGGACAACCCGAGGAAACUCGGACUAAUACCGGAUGCCCUCACCGGGUCGCAUGGUCUGGUGAGGAAAUGGAUUCCGCUUUGGGAUGGGCUUGCGGUCUAUCAGCUUGUUGGUGGGGUAACGGCCUACCAAGGCGACGACGGAUAGCUGGUCUGAGAGGACGAUCAGCCACACUGGGACUGAGACACGGCCCAGACUCCUACGGGAGGCAGCAGUGGGGAAUCUUGCGCAAUGGGGGAAACCCUGACGCAGCGACGCCGCGUGCGGGAUGAAGGCCUUCGGGUUGUAACCGCUUCAGCAGGGACGAAAUUGACGGUACCUGCAGAAGAAGGCCCGGCCAACUACGCGCCAGCAGCCGC